GAUGAAGAACGCAGCGAAAUGCGAUAAGUAAUGUGAAUUGCAGAAUUCAGUGAAUCAUCGAAUCUUUGAACGCACAUUGCGCCCGCCAGUAUUCUGGCGGGCAUGCCUGUUCGAGCGUCAUUUCAACCAUCAAGCCCCAGGCUUGUGUUGGGGGCCUGCGGCUGCCGCAGGCCCUGAAAACCAGUGGCGGGCUCGCUGUCACACCGGGCGUAGUAGAUUUUAUCUCGCUCAGGGCGUGCUGCGGGUUCCGGCCGUUAAAAAGCCUUUUUUACCCAAGGUUGACCUCGGAUCAGGUAGGAAGACCCGCUGAACUUAAGCAUAUCAAUAAGCGGAGGA
Molecule: unclassified non-coding RNA, 336 nt
Filed under: soil metagenome
Description: partial contains 5.8S ribosomal RNA, internal transcribed spacer 2, and large subunit ribosomal RNA
Rfam family: 5.8S ribosomal RNA (bases 1-120)
Source: RNAcentral